ACUAUCAGUCGCUCUUACAUACAUGUUUCUUUGUAAUUCUUGGCUACAGAUCUUGCAAUUCCUUCGAACUUUCAAAGCUCAAGUUCCUCUGAGAAGUUCUAAUAGGCGAUCUGUUGGUGGCUUAUACUACCUUUCAUAUCUGGAUAACAACAUGCUUCUAGGCCGUGCUGUUGGAGGUGGCGGUGUGUUCAUAUUCACCAGAGCUCAACCUAUCCUCCUCUGAAGAAUGGUCUGAACAUAAAACCCUUGAGAAUGUGUAGAUACCCAUUGAAUGGAAGGAUAUGAAGAUCAAUAUAAUCUCGGAUUCGGUGCCGGGUUGAGGCAGAAUCCAUACAAGAUGGUAAAUAUAGUAUUACUUGCUGAAAAUUUUGCUACCCUUUUUUCUUCUUUUAGUUGAUGUUACUCCUUGAUGUCAUACUUACUUUAAUCCCAGCAAGAUAGUAAGAUGGUUUUUACUCUCAUGUUGACUCAUUGUCAAAGAGUUACAAAACAUAUCAUUAAUUUUGCUAUAAAAAAAUAAUCUUCAUAUUUA
Ipomoea triloba (trilobed morning glory) is the source of this 532-nucleotide long non-coding RNA. RefSeq lists it as uncharacterized. The record is from RefSeq and is a predicted model, not a curated record. The transcript is spliced from 2 exons. NCBI's taxonomy places the organism in Eukaryota, Viridiplantae, Streptophyta, Magnoliopsida, Solanales, Convolvulaceae.